AGCAGAUGAAGCUAGAAAAUCCAUAUUGAAGAAACACUUGCCCAGGUUGAAAACCCAUAUUGAAAAGCAAUGAAAACUCAGAUUUAUUAUCAUCUCUAGAACCUGCAAGGGCACCGCUUGCGAAUUCAUCUUCACCUUUUCCCUCUUGGCUGUGAGAAGGUUUUCCUCCUUAUUUUUCUCGCACUUCUCUCGAACAUGUUUCUUCCUUUCCUGACUUUCAACCUUGGCUUUAAUUUCCCAUUUGAAAUUUGAAAUUUAACCUAAAAAUCAAAUCUUGCAAGGCGAUUCAUCGCUCAGUCGCCAUAGCCCAGAAGAAAGAUGUUGAAUCCAAUUGGAAAUCUCAGGUUUAUUUUUUUAAUCGCGAGUAUUAUCUCUCUCUCUGGAUCUGUUCAAUUUCUAACCAGAUCUUCACACUCUCAUUUCCCUGAGUUUUUUCUCGCUCCCCACCAUUUUUUUCUAUCUUAAAGGUAUGAUUUUUCCGUAAUUAUAUCAGCGUGGGGGCAUUGGGUUUUUGGAUUUUGUUAUUUGGUUCUUAUAUAACGUGAAUUGUUAUUGAACCUUGACUGAAAGCUAGCUUCUUUUUCCAUUGUACAGGGGAAUCAUGUAUUUUGAGGUCUGUAAACAGAAAGCUUGGGAAGUAGCACAACCUCCUUUGAAAAACUUGCUAAUGAGGGGGUUCAGGAUGUGGAUGGUUGGUAGUACAGUUCACUUGUUUAGCAUUGGUAUCACCUUCUCAGCUCUGGUGGUGGGAGUGAGGAGGAAGAAGAUGAUGGAGAGAUUGAUCUAAUUUGGGGAUUUUGACUUGGGACUAAAUUGAAGUAUUUAAAAUUCUCCAAAAAAUAAUUUCAAUAUUUAAAUCCACGUGGCAAGUCUACUGAGGUACUUAGCAUGCCAAAUCACCUUGGCAGUUAACGUUCACUAACAGAAGUCGAGCCAGGGACUAACGUGAUUGACGUUUUGCAACAUCAGGGACUACGGGCGACAUUUUCAUAGAAUAGGGACUAAAAUGCCCGACGCUUGUAACUUUAGGGACGAAAGUGACCAUUCACCCGAUUUUCGGAUCCUAUCACUAAUGGUGUUAAUGUUGCAGGACUUAUAAGUGCAAGGGCAGGAUGGUCAGGGGGUUAGUUUGGGUUUUACUGCCUCAAGAUUUCGAGAGUGGGAUGAUGAAGAUUGUUCAUUCACAUGUUGUUACAGUUUGACAUGGGAGAUUUUCAUGUACUUAUUGGUGGUAAACCCACUGACUGUAAUUACUAUGAUAAAUCAAGCAAUUGGAGCAUAUGGAGUUGCAAGCCAAGAAUGCAAGUCCGUUGUUGAACCGUAUGGAUAAAGAAUCUUGGAAUUGCUCUCGGGUAAUGUAAGUGCCACUUUUAAUUGAUUCAUGACUUCUUGAAUAGUUUAUUGAUUAGAUUCUUGUAAUCCUUGCCUUUAGGAAAGAUGCUGUUAGUAAAAAUUGUAAGGUUUGUAUUAUAAAUAUUACUUAGCAAAUUUAGUUGUUCUGCAUUUUGCUUUUUUUCUUUCAUUCCUAACUUUCAAGUGGAAUUAAUUGUUCUUGUUGUUCUUGACUUGAAAGUUGUAUGCAAUAGUGAGCUUUGACUUGAAAGUGGAGAAGUUCUUCUGCUUGCUCUAGCCUCAAGGUACUUAAGCUUCUCAGAUCCUUGUUUAUUUUUCCUUCUUCAUCUCUUGACUUUUGAGAUAGAACAUGUU
Molecule: long non-coding RNA, 1707 nt
Organism: Lotus japonicus
Lineage: Eukaryota; Viridiplantae; Streptophyta; Magnoliopsida; Fabales; Fabaceae
Exons: 3
Source: RefSeq, a predicted model, not a curated record